This 441-nucleotide ribosomal RNA is filed under the name uncultured bacterium. RNAcentral's name for it is "bacterial SSU rRNA". It matches the Rfam family "Bacterial small subunit ribosomal RNA", at positions 29 to 517 of the family's 1533-position model. The record is from RNAcentral.
AGCGAACGCUGGCGGCAGGCCUAACACAUGCAAGUCGAACGGAUCCUUCGGGAUUAGUGGCGGACGGGUGAGUAACACGUGGGAACGUGCCUUUUGGUUCGGAACAACUCAGGGAAACUUGGGCUAAUACCGAAUGUGCCCUUCGGGGAAAGAUUUAUCGCCAUUAGAGCGGCCCGCGUCUGAUUAGCUAGUUGGUGGGUAAAGGCUCACCAAGGCUACGAUCAGUAGCUGGUCUGAGAGGAUGAUCAGCCACAUUGGGACUGAGACACGGCCCAAACUCCUACGGGAGGCAGCAGUGGGGAAUCUUGCGCAAUGGGCGAAAGCCUGACGCAGCCAUGCCGCGUGAAUGAUGAAGGUCUUAGGAUUGUAAAAUUCUUUCACCGGGGACGAUAAUGACGGUACCCGGAGAAGAAGCCCCGGCUAACUUCGUGCCAGCAGCCG